CCUGACUGGAGCUCAGCGAGCCGAAGGGGCUGGUGGAGAAGGGGCUGCUGGUCUGGGCAGCCUAGGUUGGGAGGGAGGGUCAUGGCGGGAGUGUGGAGGAGCAAGACAUCCCCACGCCCCCCGCCCCCUGCCCCAGACCCCAGUGUUGAUGAAUAAGAAGCGGAUUAAGAAGAGUGAGAGCUGAAGAGACAGGAGAAUCAGGGACCACGAGAGCCCGUGCAAGAUCCGGAGCACAGGGGCUUCCCUGGGUCCCAGGCUUUCUGCAGGACUCACCCCCAACUACCCCGGUGUCCUCCUUCCAGCCAGCCUCCCCGCGGGUCCUGAGAGGAGAGUUUCCUAAAGAGAAGGAAGAAACUCGGACUUCCCUCCUGUUAUGUUCGGGCUCCUCUGUGAGAAAGAGGAGGAGAGAGGAAAAUGAAGGGCCCAUUCUCUGUCCCCAGAGAGCCCCCAGGAAUGUUGGGAAGAUCUGCAAGGAUGAGCCUGAACCUAGAGCGUGACCUGUAGCUGGACCCUGUGGGAACUCACACGUGCCUCCAGGAAGGACAGUGAGCGGAGCAUACACACCAAUUCUACCGAACCCGUUCCCACGCACAGUCGCCCCCACCCCGUGGUUCCAGAACUGGUGGGUUCUUGAUCUCGCUGACUUCAAGCAUGAAGCCAUGAACCUUCACUGCCCUUUAAACUGUAUUAUGGGAGAAAUCCUUGCUUGCUUUAUGAGCUGAAAACUCAGGUAGGUCCCAUGUUUUUUCUGCUCACUC
This 758-nucleotide long non-coding RNA is filed under the name Homo sapiens (human). RNAcentral's name for it is "HSALNT0340149". Lineage: Eukaryota; Metazoa; Chordata; Mammalia; Primates; Hominidae. The record is from RNAcentral.